UACGUAUGGUGCAAGCGUUAUCCGGAUUUACUGGGUGUAAAGGGAGCGUAGACGGAGUAGCAAGUCUGAUGUGAAAACCCGGGGCUCAACCCCGGGACUGCAUUGGAAACUGUCAAUCUAGAGUACCGGAGAGGUAAGCGGAAUUCCUAGUGUAGCGGUGAAAUGCGUAGAUAUUAGGAGGAACACCAGUGGCGAAGGCGGCUUGCUGGACGGUAACUGACGUUGAGGCUCGAAAGCGUGGGGAGCAAACAGG
RNAcentral lists this ribosomal RNA (253 nucleotides) under Mediterraneibacter faecis JCM 15917. Its description in RNAcentral is "[Ruminococcus] faecis JCM 15917 partial 16S ribosomal RNA". It matches the Rfam family "Bacterial small subunit ribosomal RNA", at positions 524 to 776 of the family's 1533-position model. Lineage: Bacteria; Bacillati; Bacillota; Clostridia; Lachnospirales; Lachnospiraceae. The record is from RNAcentral.